Molecule: ribosomal RNA, 252 nt
Filed under: uncultured bacterium
Lineage: Bacteria
Description: partial 16S ribosomal RNA
Rfam family: Bacterial small subunit ribosomal RNA
Source: RNAcentral
UACGGAGGAUGCGAGCGUUAUCCGGAUUUAUUGGGUUUAAAGGGUGCGUAGGCGGGCUUUUAAGUCAGCGGUAAAAAUUCGGGGCUCAACCCCGUCCGGCCGUUGAGACUGGGGGUCUUGAGUGGGCGAGAAGAAGGCGGAAUGCGUGGUGUAGCGGUGAAAUGCAUAGAUAUCACGCAGAACCCCGAUUGCGAAGGCAGCCUUCCGGCGCCCUACUGACGCUGAUGCACGAAAGUGCGGGGAUCGAACAGG